This 292-nucleotide ribosomal RNA is filed under the name uncultured bacterium. Its description in RNAcentral is "partial 16S ribosomal RNA". It matches the Rfam family "Bacterial small subunit ribosomal RNA", at positions 505 to 796 of the family's 1533-position model. The record is from RNAcentral.
GUGCCAGCCGCCGCGGUAAGACGAACCGUCCAAACGUUAUUCGGAAUCACUGGGCUUACAGAGUUCGUAGGCGGUCUGGAAAGUUGGGUGUGAAAUCCCUCGGCUCAACCGAGGAACUGCGCUCAAAACUACCCGACUCGAGGGAGAUAGAGGAAAGCGGAACUGAUGGUGGAGCGGUGAAAUGCGUUGAUAUCAUCAGGAACACCGGUGGCGAAGGCGGCUUUCUGGGUCUUACCUGACGCUGAGGAACGAAAGCUAGGGGAGCGAACGGGAUUAGAUACCCGGGUAGUCC